Molecule: ribosomal RNA, 468 nt
Filed under: uncultured bacterium
Lineage: Bacteria
Description: partial 16S ribosomal RNA
Rfam family: Bacterial small subunit ribosomal RNA
Source: RNAcentral
GAUGAACGCUGGCGGCGUGCUUAACACAUGCAAGUCGAACGGAAAGGCCCAAGCUUGCUUGGGUACUCGAGUGGCGAACGGGUGAGUAACACGUGGGUGAUCUGCCCUGCACUUCGGGAUAAGCCUGGGAAACUGGGUCUAAUACCGGAUAGGACGAUGGUUUGGAUGCCAUUGUGGAAAGUUUUUUCGGUGUGGGAUGAGCUCGCGGCCUAUUAGCUUGUUGGUGGGGUAAUGGCCUACCAAGGCGUCGACGGGUAGCCGGCCUGAGAGGGUGUACGGCCACAUUGGGACUGAGAUACGGCCCAGACUCCUACGGGAGGCAGCAGUGGGGAAUAUUGCACAAUGGGCGCAAGCCUGAUGCAGCGACGCCGCGUGGGGGAUGACGGCCUUCGGGUUGUAAACUCCUUUCGCUAGGGACGAAGCGUUUUUGUGACGGUACCUGGAGAAGAAGCACCGGCUAACUACGUG